UCCUUCUUAGCUCAGUUGGUUAGAGCAUCUGACUGUUAAUCAGUCCCGAUUGGUCGGGAUGGUUCGAGUCCAAGAGAGGGAGCAA
Molecule: transfer RNA, 85 nt
Filed under: Bacteroidales bacterium
Lineage: Bacteria; Pseudomonadati; Bacteroidota; Bacteroidia; Bacteroidales
Description: tRNA-Asn
Rfam family: tRNA
About the family: Transfer RNA (tRNA) molecules are approximately 80 nucleotides in length. Their secondary structure includes four short double-helical elements and three loops (D, anti-codon, and T loops). Further hydrogen bonds mediate the characteristic L-shaped molecular structure. tRNAs have two regions of fundamental functional importance: the anti-codon, which is responsible for specific mRNA codon recognition, and the 3' end, to which the tRNAs corresponding amino acid is attached (by aminoacyl-tRNA synthetases). tRNAs cope with the degeneracy of the genetic code in two manners: having more than one tRNA (with a specific anti-codon) for a particular amino acid; and 'wobble' base-pairing, i.e. permitting non-standard base-pairing at the 3rd anti-codon position.
Source: RNAcentral